AGAGUUUGAUCAUGGCUCAGGAUGAACGCUGGCGGCGUGCCUAACACAUGCAAGUCGAACGAGAAGCUAACUUCUGAUUCCUUCGGGAUGAUGAGGUUAGCAGAAAGUGGCGAACGGGUGAGUAACGCGUGGGUAAUCUACCCUGUUUUAGUGGGGGAUAACCCUCCGAAAGGAGGGCUAAUACCGCAUAAUAUCUUCUCCUCUAAAAGAGAAGAAGAUUAAAGAUGGCCUCUAUACUAUGCUAUCGCUUCAGGAUGAGCCUGCGUCCUAUUAGUUAGUUGGUGGGGUAAUGGCCCACCAAGGCAAUGACGGGUAGCUGGUCUGAGAGGACGAUCAGCCACACGGGCACUGAGACACGGGCCCGACUCCUACGGGAGGCAGC
RNAcentral lists this ribosomal RNA (382 nucleotides) under uncultured bacterium. Its description in RNAcentral is "bacterial SSU rRNA". It matches the Rfam family "Bacterial small subunit ribosomal RNA", at positions 8 to 352 of the family's 1533-position model. The record is from RNAcentral.